RNAcentral lists this long non-coding RNA (432 nucleotides) under Vitis vinifera (wine grape). RNAcentral's name for it is "long non-coding RNA (VVIN_LNC007026)". The record is from RNAcentral. Lineage: Eukaryota; Viridiplantae; Streptophyta; Magnoliopsida; Vitales; Vitaceae.
UUGUAAAAAAAAUUAAAAUUACUAUUACUAUUGAUGUUGUUGUUGUGGUAGCACAACUCAAUUAUAAUAAUGACAAAAAUAUUGAUUCAUCAUUAUAGGCCAUAUGGGUUCACUACUGUUCUUUAACCACCCUAAUUUUAUUGAUGGAAACCUCUUGCAGAUUUGUAUAAAAUUAGGGGGAAAAAGAGAAAGGAAGGGUCUGCUAGUGAAAGCCCAAAUGAAAGACUAUCAUAGAAUAAGAAUCACGAAAUACAUACUGCUUCUCUUAUUCAUGUUUCAGGCUAGCCAUAUUGCUUGGACAUGCAUGCAAUAUAUGAGCCUGAGAAUGUUCAGGUUAAUUACAAAUGGAAGAGCGAAGAAAGUCCGGGGAAAAUUAACGGGCAGUUUUAACACGGAGGCAUGUCUGGCGGUGGAGGAAGUAGACGGUCCUCU